RNAcentral lists this non-coding RNA (21 nucleotides) under Arabidopsis thaliana (thale cress). The record is from RNAcentral. Lineage: Eukaryota; Viridiplantae; Streptophyta; Magnoliopsida; Brassicales; Brassicaceae.
UGUUGUUUUUGGUGUCUUUGU